GACGGGACCCCGCACAAGCAGCGGAGCGUGUGGUUUAAUUCGAUGAUACGCGAAAACCUUACCUGGGUUUGACAUGCAAGUGGUAGGAAUCUGAAAGGGGACCGACCCUUCGGGGAGCUUGCACAGGUGCUGCAUGGCUGUCGUCAGCUCGUGUCGUGAGAUGUUCGGUUAAGUCCGCUAACGAGCGCAACCCUCGUCGUAUGUUAUAUGUGUCAUACGAGACUGCCGGUAAAAAGCCGGAGGAAGGUGAGGAUGAUAUCAAGUCAGCAUGACCUUUAUAUCCAGGGCUACACACACGCUACAAUGGUCUGUACAAUGGGUAGCCAAGCCGCGAGGCGGAGCCAAUCCUGAAAGCAGGCCUCAGUUCAGAUUGCAGUCUGCAACUCGACUGCAUGAAGCCGGAGUUGCUAGUAACCGCAGGUCAGCAAUACUGCGGUGAAUACGUUCCCGGGUCUU
Molecule: ribosomal RNA, 456 nt
Filed under: uncultured Anaerolineaceae bacterium
Lineage: Bacteria; Bacillati; Chloroflexota; Anaerolineae; Anaerolineales; Anaerolineaceae
Description: bacterial SSU rRNA
Rfam family: Bacterial small subunit ribosomal RNA
Source: RNAcentral